Molecule: ribosomal RNA, 232 nt
Filed under: uncultured bacterium
Lineage: Bacteria
Description: partial 16S ribosomal RNA
Rfam family: Bacterial small subunit ribosomal RNA
Source: RNAcentral
GCAAGUCGAACGAGAAGCUAUCCUUCGGGAUAGUGGAAAGUGGCAGACGGGUGAGUAACGCGUGGGAACGUGCCUUUCGGUUCGGGAUAACUCAGGGAAACUAGGGCUAAUACCGAAUACGCCAUUCGGGGGAAAGAUUUAUCGCCGAAAGAUCGGCCCGCGUCGGAUUAGCUUGUUGGUGAGGUAAAGGCUCACCAAGGCGACGAUCCGUAGCUGGUCUGAGAGGAUGAUC